AUGCCCUUUUCCGUUUCCUCUGGAACGAAACCGAAACCCCAAAUUGCCCUUCCGCAGCAACCGCAGCCGCCGCCGCCGCCGCUGCCGCCGUCCGCCAUGGGCACGGAGGUGGUGCCCGUGGUGGACCUUGGCGCGCUGUCCCAGUCGGAGCUCGUGGCGCUCGCGGCCGCAUCGCCCUACGCCGUCGACCCCCGCCGCGGGCGCCGCGACGCCGACCUCCUCCCGCCCCCUAAGAUCGAUCGCGCCGUCUUCAACGAGAGUGCCGGCUCCCGCAAGCAGACCUUCUCCCGCCGCCGCGCCGCCACCAAUCUCCCCCACAAUCUCACCCCUAGCACCGCCUCCUCCUCCGCCGUCGCCGCCCCCACGGAGGAGGAUUCCGAGAACCGCCUCAUUGUGUUCCACCUCCAGCAGCUCUUUGCGCGCGACGACCCCUCCUAUCUGCCACCACCACCGCCGAUUCCACUCCAACAGCUACCCCCGAUACCCAUACCCGCACCCACGAUACCGGUGCCCACACCCCCCGUGGCCUCCGUGCCGAUCCAGCAGCUCCCGGACCCAGACCGGGAUUUGACGAACCCCAAGGGGGUGGCUGUUGAUUUGGCCAGACUCGCGGAGUUGGUGGAUCCGUAUGGGGAGGAGAUACGAAAUCGGACUGCAGGACUGGCUCUGGAAUCCGAGCUGCUGGGUUUCAUGAAUGAGUUGGAGGGGCAGUGGGGGAGUCGGAGGCGGCGGAGGAAGUUUGUGGAAGCAGCCAUAUUCGGCGACCACCUGCCCCGUGGGUGGAAGCUAAUCCUUGGGAUUAAACGGAAGGAGCGUGCUGCCUGGAUCAAUUGCCGCCGAUAUGUUAGCCCCAGGGGACAUCAAUUUGCUACUUGUAGAGAAGUUUCUUCCUAUUUCAUGUCACUUCUUGGAUAUGUGGAGGCAAAGCCAACCACUGUUCAGAACAAUGAUAUGGGAGUUCGUGACUUGAGUGCUGUGAAUGUGGGAGUUCGUGACUUGAGUGCUGUGAAUGUGGGAGUUCAGAACAACGAUGUGGGAGUUCGUGACUUGAGUGCUGUGAAUACUGCAGGUCUUCACCAGCAAAAUGAUUCAACUAGGGACAUGCAAAGUGCAGUGUCAGCCACUUCUGUUACAUUAUCCAUUCACAAUGGUGAUUCUCAGGGACAGAGACAAAAACCUUAUAAAGAUGAAGCUCCGAUAGAAGCAGUCAGGAAAGAGUGCAAAAAAUGCAAUUUGACUUUUGAGGACCAGAGUGCCUAUGUGCAGCAUCAAUUGUCUUUUCAUCAAAGGAAAGCUAAAAGGCGCAAGGUUGAUAAAUCGAUUGGUCUGGGAGUCAGUAAAGAUGGAAAACUUGAGACUCAAGAAAGUCAGAGGACCUCUGAAGAUAAACCUGGCUAUUUUGGUCAUGGUGUAGCUGAUGUUAAAAGUCAAGGUCAGAGUCCAGCAGAACUGUUUGGCGGAGCUUCUUCAGGAGAUGUAGGUGCUCAGCUAUCCUUGGCUGCAGCACCAUGUGGGUUGCAAGAGAUAACUGCCUUACCUGAACAGGUAGAAGAGCCAUCUGCUGGAGAGCCUGUCUCUGGGCAUCAGGACCUUCCUCAGGAGACUACUGGUUUACCUCAACAGGAAAAAGAACUUUCUGCUACAGAGCCUUUCGCUGGGCAUCAAAAGGAACAUGUUGAUAAUUCUGGUGACCAUGAAAUCCAUGAUGGAGCAUGUCAUAUAGCUGAAGAGCCUCUUGCCUUUGAUGUUGGAAGCAACCUUAGUACUUGCAAGUCUCCUGAACCAGAAGUUCAUGAGCAUGACAGCUCAAAAGAUUUGGAAUUUUCCAUCGCAGAUUGCUCAGGAAGUUUUGACAGGUCUCAUGAAAUCUCUAAGAUACCUCAGGAUGUUCCAUGUACUGCAGAUGCUCCAGGUGAAAAAAGUUGCUCUGAUGAUCCAAUGGACUGUGCUGAUAUAACACUGCCAAAACAAGUUCCUGAGCACUGUGAUAUGCUGGAUCACAAAUUUAGAGGUUUUCCUGGAGGAACUGGUUUUAAUGACCAGGUGGGAAAUAAUCCACUGUCUGCCAACUUGGAUGAGCCUGAUCUUAGUUCCAACAGCAUGGAGGUAGAUAACAGCAAGAUAGCUUGCAAGUUUGGCGAUAUGCUGAAUUCUACCAGCUCUGAAUAUGAUAAACCUGUUGUGGAUCAAAUUGAUCGUGGAGUGACUGCCUUGAAAAAUGAUGCGAUCAACAUUGAUGAUGGGAUGAACAUUGAUGUCAGAAUAAAGGAGGUUAACCUCAAUUCAUGCUUAGAUACAAUAUCUUCUCCUGUUUCUGGUGCAAACUGUGAAACGUCUAAUGCCCUUCAUGAUGGCAAUCGAUCGUCCAUUCUCGCCCAAUGUUUUGGUGGUAGCUCUAAUGAUGACAAUGUUUGUCAGGACGAAAGUUUUGUCAAUCAGAACAAUGUUUCUAAGGCUGAAAUUUUUGUCAAUCAGAGCAAUGACAUGGUGUAUCAAUCCAAUUUGAACAUGAAUCCUAUCUCUCCUCCUCAAAUUAGUGUGGAUUAUUUCACUAACUGCUCAAUGAAUUCUGAAAUUAAGAACAACGACAACCGACGUGAUGAUAAUGCCAAGGAACAGUUUGUGAACUCACGGAACAUAUCAAGUAAUGAACCAGGUUUUGAUGCUGAAGCUUACAACAAUGACAUCUUCACUGGUGCUAUGGCAGAAACUAGCUUUGCUCAGCUGAAUAAUGCUAUGAAUAUGAAGACUGAUUACUCAAGCUGCUACUCAAUAUCUGAUCUAAAUACGCUGACUGGUGGUACUGCAACUGAUGGAAUUGAUUUCCAUGGUAUGAGGAGUUCUUUUGUAAGUGGCUCCACCAGUCGCAGUGAACCAAAUGAACUUGAUUUUGAUAUCAAGGGUUCCAUGCUCGAGGCUCUGGAAAGAUCGGACAGCGACCUGGAAACACAGUACAAUGGUGGCGAUCCUGCCAUUGACUCACUCCCUGCGGCAGGCACAAGUGGGACAAGUGUUGAUGAUUUUAUGUCCAUGCACACCAAUUUUGGUAGCUUGACCUCUUUGGUUCGUUCCGUUGAAGGUGGUCCAAUGAGCAGACUUAUUCAAGAUCAGUGUGAUUUGCAACUUGGAUUUGGUGCACAGAAGCAGCAAAUAUAUCCUAGUUUUGAGGAGCACCUUCGGAUGGCCUCAGCUGGAGCUCCGCAGUUUGGGAACAUGGGCAGACACAAUCCCAUGCCUGUGCCUGUGCCCGUGCCCGAGCCAACACUGAUGCUAGGGUAUGAGCCAACGUUGAUGCUGGGUUAUGCACCGCAGUUCGGGAGCUGCCCUCCGGUCCAGUUAGGUUGGGACCUGUCCAAGAUGGUUGGCGUGCUCCAGUCUGUAUGUGUGUGGUGCAACACAAGGUUCCAGCAUUUUGGCACGGCCGAGCAGCAGAACGACUCUGUUGGCUUCAUUUGCCCCGCAUGCAAGGACAAGACAUCUGGUCAUCUUGGUACACUCAACAAUGGUUCAUUGCUUUAG
This 3519-nucleotide ribosomal RNA is filed under the name Triticum aestivum (bread wheat). Its description in RNAcentral is "partial small subunit ribosomal RNA". Lineage: Eukaryota; Viridiplantae; Streptophyta; Magnoliopsida; Poales; Poaceae. The record is from RNAcentral.